CCUACGGGGUGCAGCAGUGCGGAAUAUUGGUCAAUGGGCGGGAGCCUGAACCAGCCAAGUCGCGUGAGGGAAGAAGGUACUGAGUAUUGUAAACCUCUUUUGCCAGGGGACAAAGGCGGCCACGGGUGACCGUAAGAGGGUACCUGGAGAAAAAGCAUCGGCUAACUCCGUGCCAGAGGCCGCGGUACUACGGAGGAGGCGGUCGUUAUCCGGAUUUAUUGGGGUUAAAGGGUGCGCAGGCGGCGUGUCAAGUCAGCGGGAAAAUGUCGGGGAUCAACCCCGGCCGGCCGUUGAAACUGGCGUGCUCGAGUUGGAGAGAAGUAUGCGGAAUUCGUGGUGUAGCGGUGAAAUGCAUAGAGAUCACGAAGAACCCCGAUUGCGAAGGCAGCAUACCGGCUCCACACUGACGCUGAGGUACGAAAGCGUGGGUAUCGAACAGGAUUAGAUACCCCUGUAGUC
This 459-nucleotide ribosomal RNA is filed under the name uncultured bacterium. RNAcentral's name for it is "partial 16S ribosomal RNA". It matches the Rfam family "Bacterial small subunit ribosomal RNA", at positions 338 to 795 of the family's 1533-position model. The record is from RNAcentral.